GUUGGUUUACUGUAGGACAUUAUAAGCAUUGAUACUAGGUGGGCAGUACUGUUGGUUUAUUGUAGGACAUUAUAAGCAUUGAUACUAGGUGGGCUGUACUGUUGGUUUACUGUAGGACAUUAUAAGCAUUGAUACUAGGUGGGCUGUACUGUUGGUUUACUGUAGGACAUUAUAAGCAUUGAUACUAGGUGGGCAGUACUGUUGGUUUACUGUAGGACAUUAUAAGCAUUGAUACUAGGUGGGCUGUACUGUUGGUUUACUGUAGGACAUUAUAAGCAUUGAUACUAGGUGGGCUGUACUGUUGGUUUACUGUAGGACAUUAUAAGCAUUGAUACUAGGUGGGCUGUACUGUUGGUUUACUGUAGGACAUUAUAAGCAUUGAUACUAGGUAGGCUGUACUGUUGGUUUACUGUAGGACAUUAUAAGCAUUGAUACUAGGUGGGCUGUACUGUUGGUUUACUGUAGGACAUUAUAAGCAUUGAUACUAGGUGGGCAGUACUGUUGGUUUACUGUAGGACAUUAUAAGCAUUGAUACUAGGUGGGCUGUACUGUUGGUUUACUGUAGGACAUUAUACACAUUGAUACUAGGUGGGCUGUACUGUUGGUUUACUGUAGGACAUUAUAAGCAUUGAUACUAGGUGGGCUGUACUGUUGGUUUACUGUAGGACAUUGAUACUAG
Oncorhynchus keta (chum salmon) is the source of this 679-nucleotide long non-coding RNA. RefSeq lists it as uncharacterized. The record is from RefSeq and is a predicted model, not a curated record. Lineage: Eukaryota; Metazoa; Chordata; Actinopteri; Salmoniformes; Salmonidae. The transcript is spliced from 4 exons.